This is a non-coding RNA of Pelobates cultripes (western spadefoot toad), 642 nucleotides long. The record is from the annotation of a GenBank genome assembly. NCBI's taxonomy places the organism in Eukaryota, Metazoa, Chordata, Amphibia, Anura, Pelobatidae.
GUGUAACAAACGCUAAUGCCGUUCAUUGAUUAUCGGGAUGUAGUGUAUGCACCUGCAUAAACUUAAAGGGAAACUAUAGUGCCAGGAAAACAUACUAAUUUUCCUGGCACUAUAGCUUCCCCCUCCUGUGGCGCUCGUAUUAGGAUCUCCCCAUAGGAAAGUAUUAUUCACUGCUUUCCGAUGGGAUAUUCCGGUGACGCUGGAAGUUAUGUUCAGCGUCGUUUAGCCAACCAGAAGUCCCCUAUCCACAUGGAAGUCCCUCUAGUGGCUGUCUGGUAGACAGCCACUAGAGGAGGAGUUAACCCUAGCAGGUAAUUAGUGCAGUUUAUAAAACCUACAAUAAUUACAUGCUAUGGGUAAAGGUUGAUGGGAGUUUGCACCCAGACCACUUUAAUGAGCUGAAGUGGUCUGGGUGCCUACAGUGUCCCUUUAAUGUGUUAUAUAAUUUGUUUUGCCGCUUUGUACUAGAAUGUAAUUACAUGACCCACCACUGUGACAUGUUAAAAGAGCUCAACUGGCUAUCGCUGGAAUCCCGACGCACCCUUCAUCUUUCCAGCUUUGUGUUUAAGAGCAUUUAUGGGAAGCUCCCUCCCUACCUGAGUAGAAUGCUCUCCCCAACUGUUCCCAUCUCCUAAAACCUCC